Molecule: ribosomal RNA, 506 nt
Filed under: uncultured bacterium
Lineage: Bacteria
Description: partial 16S ribosomal RNA
Rfam family: Bacterial small subunit ribosomal RNA
Source: RNAcentral
AUUGAACGCUGGCGGCAGGCCUAACACAUGCAAGUCGAACGGCAGCGGGGGGUAGCUUGCUACCCCGCCGGCGAGUGGCGGACGGGUGAGUAAUGCCUGGGGAGCUGCCCAAUCGAGGGGGAUACCAGUUGGAAACGACUGCUAAUACCGCAUACGCCCUGAGGGGGAAAGGUGGGGAUCUUCGGACCUACCGCGAUUGGAUGCACCCAGGUGGGAUUAGCUAGUUGGUGAGGUAACGGCUCACCAAGGCGACGAUCUCUAGCUGGUCUGAGAGGAUGACCAGCCACACUGGAACUGAGACACGGUCCAGACUCCUACGGGAGGCAGCAGUGGGGAAUAGUGCACAAUGGGGGAAACCCUGAUGCAGCCAUGCCGCGUGUGUGAAGAAGGCCUUCGGGUUGUAAAGCACUUUCAGCGAGGAGGAAAGGUGGCUAGCUAAUACCUAGUUGCUGUGACGUUACUCGCAGAAGAAGCACCGGCUAACUCCGUGCCAGCCGCCGCAGUAA